RNAcentral lists this ribosomal RNA (123 nucleotides) under Cephalotus follicularis. Lineage: Eukaryota; Viridiplantae; Streptophyta; Magnoliopsida; Oxalidales; Cephalotaceae. The record is from RNAcentral.
GGGUGCGAUCAUACCAGCUCUAAUGCAUCGGAUCCCAUUGGAACUCUGAAGUUAAGCGUGCUUGGACAAUGUGUAGUAGUUUUAUACAUACCAGCUCUGCGAGUAAAUUUUGGUUCGUAUCCA